This 253-nucleotide ribosomal RNA is filed under the name uncultured bacterium. Its description in RNAcentral is "partial 16S ribosomal RNA". It matches the Rfam family "Bacterial small subunit ribosomal RNA", at positions 524 to 776 of the family's 1533-position model. The record is from RNAcentral.
UACGGAGGGAGCUAGCGUUGUUCGGAAUUACUGGGCGUAAAGCGCACGUAGGCGGAUUUGUAAGUCAGGGGUGAAAUCCCGGGGCUCAACCUCGGAACUGCCUUUGAUACUGCAAAUCUCGAGUCCGAUAGAGGUGGGUGGAAUUCCUAGUGUAGAGGUGAAAUUCGUAGAUAUUAGGAAGAACACCGGUGGCGAAGGCGGCCCACUGGAUCGGUACUGACGCUGAGGUGCGAAAGCGUGGGGAGCAAACAGG